RNAcentral lists this small RNA (1440 nucleotides) under Pongo abelii (Sumatran orangutan). Its description in RNAcentral is "retained intron". Lineage: Eukaryota; Metazoa; Chordata; Mammalia; Primates; Hominidae. The record is from RNAcentral.
GACACCCUCUAAACUCUGCAAACUGAAACCGGAACCAUGGUUACCACAUCCUGUUCAUUUUCCAAUUUAGCUCAACCCCUGUGUCCUGCCCAAUAGAAGUGGCACCAUGGCCCCCAAACUCAUCACCCUUCUGUGUCUGGGUAAGUCCUGGAAGGGAAAGGAGGACACGGUUGGGAUGGAAAAUGCUCUCUUGAAGACCUGGCCUCUCCACAACCCGGGUCUGGUGGUGGGAGGCCAGGUCCCUCUGAAUCCAGGCUGAGCUGACAAACCCAGUUACAAGGAGGGCAGGAUUCACAUGAAGACAAGCUAUUUCUCUCUCUCUCUUUUUUUUUUUUUUUUUUUUUUCCCAGGAUUCUGCCUGAACCAGAAGAUCGGCACACAUGUGGGUGCUCAGGACAAGUUCUCCCUGUCAGCCUGGCCGAGCCCUGUGGUUCCCCUAGGAGGACGUGUGACUCUCUCCUGUCAUUCCCGUCUUCGGUUUGUCGUAUGGACAAUAUUCCAAACAACUGGGACCCGAAGCCGUGAGUUGCACAUUGGCCUUUCCAACAACAUCACCAUCAGCCCUGUGACCCCAGGACACGCAGGGACCUACAAAUGUGUUGGAAUUUACAAGCAUACCUCAAAGUGGUCAGCUGAGAGCAACUCCCUGAAGAUCAUUGUCACAGGUGGACCCCAUGAUAAGGCUGGGAGAGAAGUUGACCUUCUUCUGCAGCUCUGAAAUCUCAUUUGACUGGUACCAUCUGUUGAGAGACGGGGUUGCUCAUGGACAGUGGCUCAGUGGAGGGCAGAGACACAGUGGAGCGUUCCAGGCCAACUUUUCUGUGGGCCCCGCAACGCCAGUCCCUGGCGGGACCUAUAGAUGCUAUGGUUCUUUCAAUGACUCUCCCUAUGAGUGGUCAGCCCCCAGUGACCCACUACACCUUUACGUCACAGGAAACACUAAGAGUACUCCUCUGUCACUCAUGGAAUCCACCCAUGAGUCUGACACACAUCAUCCUCAAGGACAGUCCAGCAACCUGAAUAUCCUCAUUGGACUCUCAGUAGCCAUCAUCUCCAUUGGCGUUUGCCUCUCUGCUUUUAUUGGUUUCUGGUGUUACAUAAAAUAUUACACCACCAUGGCAAACACAGAGCCCAUGGAAGGCCAACGGACGGAUGAAGAGGAACCUGCCGCAGAAGAGACACAGAAGAUCAUAUAUGCCCAGUUAAACCACCAGGCCCUCUCACAGACAGGAUUCACUCCUGCCUCCCCGUGUCCCCACUACAUCUCGGAGGAUCCCAGUAUCUACGUCACCGUCCACCAAGCCCAGGCUGAGGCCAGAGCUGCCCCCAGUCUUUGGCACAAAGGGCAUUAAUACGCAAGGACCUGGAUCUAUUCCUAGGAGGAUUUUUUUUUCCAUGGACAUUCUUCCUCCUUCUGGUACCGUCUUGACACCUCCAAGC